Fukomys damarensis (Damara mole-rat) is the source of this 439-nucleotide long non-coding RNA. RefSeq lists it as uncharacterized. The record is from RefSeq and is a predicted model, not a curated record. The transcript has 3 exons. NCBI's taxonomy places the organism in Eukaryota, Metazoa, Chordata, Mammalia, Rodentia, Bathyergidae.
CACUCCUCGGUUUAAUCCAUCCCUUGUGGCUACUUGGACCAUUUCAGUUUGGAUGCAAAGCUUUCUGCGUUGACCUUGUACAGUUAUAAAUGUUUUAACAUCCAUAAAAAAAUAAAAAUGUAUGCUCUCAUAAAAAGCAGCACACAGACAACACAGUAAGGAGUGGGAAGAUUUGAGGCUGCGCAACACUGGUCUCCUUCAGGCCCGGCAUUGCUGCGAGCUCCCAGCGCAUCCUGAAUUUAAUGGCUGAGAAUAUGGUUCUCGCAGGCUUUUUAGAGAGCAUUAUAUUAGUGUGACUAUCGAUGAGAAGAUCAGCCCCAAGGAUGAGGAUAUGAACCCAAGAAUACCUGUUGUAUUGCAAAGUCACAUAGCUGCAUUGCACAGGGCCAGAACAAAGAUAAGAUCAAACGGGAAGGAGAAAAAACUGCAAAUGUGGAAG